Molecule: ribosomal RNA, 118 nt
Filed under: Nicotiana attenuata
Lineage: Eukaryota; Viridiplantae; Streptophyta; Magnoliopsida; Solanales; Solanaceae
Source: RNAcentral
GGAUGCGAUCAUACCAGCACUAACGCACCGGAUCCCAUCAGAACUCCGAAGUUAAGCGUGCUUGGGCGAGUGAAGUACAAGGACGGUGACCCUCUGGGAAGUCCUCGUGUUGCAUCCC